AACGAACGCUGGCGGCAUGCCUAACACAUGCAAGUCGAACGAGACCUUCGGGUCUUGUGGCGCCCGGGUGCGUAACGCGUGGGAACCUGCCCUUAGGUUCGGAAUAACUCCCCGAAAGGGGUGCUAAUACCGGAUAAUGUCUUCGGACCAAAGAUUUAUCGCCUUUGGAUGGGCCCGCGUUGGAUUAGCUAGUUGGUAGGGUAAAAGCCUACCAAGGCGACGAUCCAUAGCUGGUCUGAGAGGAUGAUCAGCCACACUGGGACGGAGACACGGCCCAGACUCCUACGGGAGGCAGCAGUGGGGAAUAUUGGACAAUGGGCGAAAGCCUGAUCCAGCAAUGCCGCGUGAGUGAUGAAGGCCUUAGGGUUGUAAAGCGCUUUUACCCGGGAUGAUAAUGACAGUACCGGGAGAAUAAGCUCCGGCUAACUCCGUG
This 433-nucleotide ribosomal RNA is filed under the name uncultured bacterium. Its description in RNAcentral is "partial 16S ribosomal RNA". It matches the Rfam family "Bacterial small subunit ribosomal RNA", at positions 29 to 507 of the family's 1533-position model. The record is from RNAcentral.